RNAcentral lists this ribosomal RNA (497 nucleotides) under uncultured bacterium. RNAcentral describes it as "partial 16S ribosomal RNA". It matches the Rfam family "Bacterial small subunit ribosomal RNA", at positions 28 to 507 of the family's 1533-position model. The record is from RNAcentral.
GACGAACGCUGGCGGCGUGCCUAAUACAUGCAAGUUGAGCGCUGAAGGUUGGUUCUUGUACCGACUGGAUGAGCAGCGAACGGGUGAGUAACGCGUGGGGAAUCUGCCUUUGAGCGGGGGACAACAUUUGGAAACGAAUGCUAAUACCGCAUAAAAACUUUAAACACAAGUUUUAAGUUUGAAAGAUGCAAUUGCAUCACUCAAAGAUGAUCCCGCGUUGUAUUAGCUAGUUGGUGAGGUAAAGGCUCACCAAGGGGAUGAUACAUAGCCGAACGGAGAGGGUGGGCGGCCGAGCUGGGACGGGGACACGGCCCAAAAGCCUACGGAAGGGAGCAGUACGGAAACGUCGGCAAGGGAAGAAAGGCAGAACGAGCAACGCCGCGGGAGUGAAGAAGGGUGUCGGAUCGUAAAAGUCUGUUGGUAGAGAAGAACGUUGGUGAGAGUGGAAAGAUCAGCAAGUGACGGUAACUACCCAGAAAGCGACGGCUAACUACGUG